CGGUAACGGGGAGGAAGGAGGGGAUGAGGUCAGGUCNGUAUUUCUCNAACACCCUGGGCUAGAAACACGAUACAAUGGUUAGUACAAUGNGCAGCAAAGCCGCGAGGUGGAGCAAAUCGCAUCAAAGCUAAUCUCAGUUCGGAUAAGAGGCUGAAACUCGCCUCUUUGAAGUCGGAAUCGCUAGUAAUCGCAAGUCAGCAAAUUGCGGUGAAUACGUUCCCGGGUCUUGUACACACCGCCCGUCAAACCAUGAAAGUCACCGG
Molecule: ribosomal RNA, 263 nt
Filed under: uncultured bacterium
Lineage: Bacteria
Description: partial 16S rRNA
Rfam family: Bacterial small subunit ribosomal RNA
Source: RNAcentral